CAGCCGCCGCGGUAAUACGGAGGGGGCUAGCGUUGUUCGGAAUUACUGGGCGUAAAGCGCACGUAGGCGGCUUGGUAAGUUAGAGGUGAAAGCCCGGAGCUCAACUCCGGAAUUGCCUUUAAGACUGCCGAGCUAGCAGGUGAGAGAGGUAAGUGGAAUUCCGAGUGUAGAGGUGAAAUUCGUAGAUAUUCGGAAGAACACCAGUGGCGAAGGCGGCUUACUGGCUCAUACUGGACGCUGAGGUGCGAAAGCGUGGGGAGCAAACAGGAUUAGAUACCCCCGUAGUCCCUGUCUCUUAUAC
This 301-nucleotide ribosomal RNA is filed under the name uncultured bacterium. Its description in RNAcentral is "partial 16S ribosomal RNA". It matches the Rfam family "Bacterial small subunit ribosomal RNA", at positions 509 to 807 of the family's 1533-position model. The record is from RNAcentral.